RNAcentral lists this ribosomal RNA (440 nucleotides) under uncultured bacterium. RNAcentral's name for it is "partial 16S ribosomal RNA". It matches the Rfam family "Bacterial small subunit ribosomal RNA", at positions 338 to 795 of the family's 1533-position model. The record is from RNAcentral.
CCUACGGGAGACUGCAGUGGGGAAUAUUGCACAAUGGGGGAAACCCUGAUGCAGCGACGCCGCGUGAGUGAAGAAGUAUUUCGGUACGUAAAGCUCUAUCAGCAGGGAAGAAAAUGACGGUACCUGACUAAGAAGCCCCGGCUAACUACGUGCCAGCAGCCGCGGUAAUACGUAGGGGGCAAGCGUUAUCCGGAUUUACUGGGUGUAAAGGGAGCGUAGACGGCAGCGCAAGUCUGGAGUGAAAUCCCAUGGCUUAACCAUGGAACUGCUUUGGAAACUGUGCAGCUAGAGUGCAGGAGAGGUAAGCGGAAUUCCUAGUGGAGCGGUGAAAUGCGUAGAUAUUAGGAGGAACACCAGUGGCGAAGGCGGCUUACUGGACUGUAACUGACGUUGAGGCUCGAAAGCGUGGGGAGCAAACAGGAUUAGAUACCCUUGUAGUC